This 468-nucleotide ribosomal RNA is filed under the name uncultured bacterium. RNAcentral describes it as "partial 16S ribosomal RNA". It matches the Rfam family "Bacterial small subunit ribosomal RNA", at positions 28 to 507 of the family's 1533-position model. The record is from RNAcentral.
GACGAACGCUGGCGGCGUGCUUAACACAUGCAAGUCGAACGGAAAGGCCCUGCUUUUGUGGGGUGCUCGAGUGGCGAACGGGUGAGUAACACGUGAGUAACCUGCCCUUGACUUUGGGAUAACUUCAGGAAACUGGGGCUAAUACCGGAUAGGAGCUCCUGCUGCAUGGUGGGGGUUGGAAAGUUUCGGCGGUGUGGGAUGGACUCGCGGCUUAUCAGCUUGAUGGUGGGGUAGUGGCUUACCAAGGCUUUGACGGGUAGCCGGCCUGGGAGGGUGACCGGCCACCUUGGGACUGAGAUACGGCCCAGACUCCUACGGGAGGCAGCAGUGGAGAAUAUUGCACAAUGGGCGGACGCCUGAUGCAGCAACGCCGCGUGCGGGAUGACGGCCUUCGGGUUGUAAACCGCUUUCGCCUGUGACGAAGCGUGAGUGACGGUAAUGGGUAAAGAAGCACCGGCUAACUACGUG